This 468-nucleotide ribosomal RNA is filed under the name uncultured bacterium. RNAcentral describes it as "partial 16S ribosomal RNA". It matches the Rfam family "Bacterial small subunit ribosomal RNA", at positions 28 to 507 of the family's 1533-position model. The record is from RNAcentral.
GAUGAACGCUGGCGGCGUGCUUAACACAUGCAAGUCGAACGGAAAGGUCAGUGCUUGCCCUGUCACUCGAGUGGCGAACGGGGGAGUAACACGUGGGGGAUCUGCCCUGCACUGCGGGAUAAGCCUUGGAAACUGGGUCGAAUACCGGAGAUGACAAUGGUUUGGAUGCGGUUGUGGAAAGUUUUAUCGGUUUGGUAUGAGCUCGCGGACUAUCAGCUUGUUGGUGGGUUAAUGGCCUACCAAGGCGUCGACGGGUAGCCGGCCUGUGAGGGUGUACGGACACAUUAGACCCGAGAUGCAGGCCACAGUAGUACGGGAGGCAGAAGGGGGGAAUGUUGGACAAUGCGCGGCAGCGUGAUGGAGCGACGUCGCGUGGGCGAUGAAGGCUUUUAGGUUGUAAGAACAUAUCGCUAGGGACCAAGCCUAUUCGUGACGGUACCUGGACAAGAAGCACCGGCUAACUACGUG